CCCACAAAUUCAAACAUUCGCAAAGCCUUUUUCUUCUUAUCGUACAUUCGCCAACAAAAUUAUGGGGAAACACAAUUCCAAGUAUGUUGGAGUGCUUCUUAUUCUGAUGCUUGCCUUGGUAUUGGCCCAAGUGCAAUGCCGUAAGCUGCUAGAAGAUGGUGACGAAGGGGAGUAUGACGGUAAUGAUGGCCUUGGCGGUGGUUCUGGUGGAGGAUUUGGCGGUGGUGCUGGUGCCGGUGGUGGAGCUGGUGGUGGUGCCGGGGCUGGUGGAGGGUUUGGAGGAGGUAAAGGUGGAGGUAUAGGCGGUGGUGGCGGUGCUGGAGGUGGUGCCGGUGGAGGGUUCGGAGGAGGUAAAGGUGGUGGAAUAGGUGGUGGUGGAGGUAAAGGUGGAGGAGUAGGCGGCGGUGGUGGUGCUGGAGGUGGGUUUGGAGGAGGAAAUGGUGGAGGUAUCGGCCCCGGAAAGGGUGGUGGCGUUGGAGGAGGCAAUGGUGGAGGCUUUGGAGGAGGUGCCGGUGGUGGAAAGGGUGGCGGCGCUGGUGGUGGAUUUGGAGGAGGCAAAGGUGGCGGAGUAGGAGGCGGUGCCGGUGCUGGCGGAGGCGCCGGUGGUGGUUUUGGAGGAGGCAAAGGUGGUGGAGUUGGAGGCGGCGCCGGUGGUGGCGGAGGCGCUGGUGGUGGCUUUGGAGGAGGCAAAGGUGGCGGAGUUGGAGGCGGCGCCGGUGGUGGCGGAGGCGCUGGUGGUGGCUUUGGAGGAGGCAAAGGUGGCGGAGUUGGAGGCGGCGCCGGUGGGGGCGGAGGCGCUGGUGGUGGCUUUGGAGGAGGCAAAGGUGGCGGAGUUGGAGGCGGCGCCGGUGGGGGCGGAGGCGCUGGUGGUGGCUUUGGAGGAGGCAAAGGUGGCGGAGUUGGAGGCGGCGCCGGUGGGGGCGGAGGCGCUGGUGGUGGCUUUGGAGGAGGCAAAGGUGGCGGAGUUGGAGGCGGCGCCGGUGGGGGCGGAGGCGCUGGUGGUGGCUUUGGAGGAGGCAAAGGUGGCGGAGUUGGAGGCGGCGCCGGUGGUGGUGGAGGCGCUGGUGGUGGGUUUGGAGGAGGUAAAGGCGGCAGAGUUGGAGGAGGUGGUGGGUUUGGAGGAGGCGCAGGUGGCGGCGGAGGCUCCGGUGGGAAUGGAGGAAUUUGAGAUGGUCAUUAAGUGUAAUACAUGAAUGGAUUUUAUAUGUCAUCGGAUAAUGUAAUAUGAAGCUUAUCAAUCAAUAAAAUGAAGUAACGAGUUCAUCUUAAUUAAUCAAUUAUUUUCCAAUUUCUUCCAUUUGCUAAAUUUCAGUAUAUAAUCUACAUUAAUAAAACGUGAAAAUAAUAAAUUGAAUUCAAACUCGAAACACAAGUUAAAUUCAGAAAUGUAUAUAUAUAUAUAGCCCAUAUAAAUUAAGUAAUCAACUAAUUCGAAUAUAUACUUUUGGAAAUUAGUAAUUAAAAUUUAGAGGUGCAACCAUUUUAGUUUAGGUUAAACAUUGAUAUACAUAUGUAUUUUGGCUAAAGCCCAAAUCCCUUAUACCAAAUGUGCCCUAAAUAAAAUGUGGUGGAACUCAGAUAAUCAUUGGCUAUUUCUAGUUGUCUGGCCUCAUUAAUAUUUAAAAGUAGCAGCUAAUAUUACAAGGAAGAGAUUCAAAACAAAGAUUACGGCGAAAGCGGAAUGCAAUAAACAAGGGACAAAAGAUAAUUCGAAAUAGGAUAACAUAGAGUCUCACGAGUCACAAAAUGAACAGCGUAAUUAUCUUGACGACGAACAUAAAAAAAGAAACUAUAGUUAGUGAAAGAAACAAAUUGCGACAAAAAUUAUCCCACAUGAAUAUCCUAAUAACUUGAUCUAACUACAUACAAAACUUGACAAAUUGCUAUAAACUCAAGCACCAAAAGGUGCACAAUGUGAUGAAUAAUGACCUGUCCAGAGUUAGAGACUAGUGAACCACAAAACAAAUCCGCUUAUUCACCAAACCAAUUGAGCCAAAACCAGUUGUUUGAAUUCUGAAACAAACUUCAAUUACUUGAUUUGUCCUAUGACUGGUUGUAGCGGGUUACAUGGUAACAUUCAAUAUAGUAAAAGUAUAUUACUGUUCACAUAAACGGCAACCUUUUCCAGCCGUUUUGUCAUGUCAAUCAACACCAACAAAACAUUUAAAAAAACAUAAUAAAAACAGAGGCCAUAUAUAUGGGCCAGCCAGCUUAACUACCAUGAAUGUUUCUAUACAAACCCAGUAUAUGUUUUACAGCAAAACGUAUGAAUUUAUUAUAUAUGUUUCCUACUGCGUACGUACUAAUUAAGUAAACUUCAUGGCUGGGCAUAGCCCUCUAUAAAUUGUGGGCAUUUGCCACUACUGAUCUGCACGCUCUCUCAAACACACAAAAAGAAUCAUAUCAUACACUUGCUAUAUAUAUAUAUAUAUAGAUAUAGAUAUUGUUCUCUCUGCUUUGUUUUAUUCCGAUCGAUGGAGAAGUUCAAAAAAGUGAUGGGUUUGAAGGAUAGUAGUGGAGUGUUACUGUUACCUGUUGUGGUGUGUAGUUUAUUAGUGAUGAUGGAGGUAGCACAAUGCCGUGAGCUCUCUAACAACAAGACAAUCGUUGGAACUCAGCUGGACAUCCCUGGAGGAGGAAACCCGUUUCUGGGUUUUAUAUGUCAGCUUUGUCAAGCGUCCGGUGGACCCGCUGUACCAGGUGGACCGGUGGGACCUGGUGGGCCAGGGGGACCAGGUGGCGGCGGUGGUCAAGGAGGAGGUUCUGGUGGGGGUAGUGGUGUUGGCAGUGGACCAGGAGGCAGGGGUGGAGGUGGUGGUUAUGGUGGCGGCAGUGGUGGCGGAAGUGGGGGCGGAGGUGAACCUGGAGGUGGUAGUGGUGUAGGAGGAGGUUCGGGUAGUGGUAGCGGAAGUGGAAGUGGAUCAGGAGGCGGCGGUAGAGGUGGCGGAAGUGGUGGCGGUGGUGGAUCUGGUGGCGGUAGUAGUGCUGGAGGAGGUUCUGGUGGAGGA
This 3008-nucleotide long non-coding RNA is filed under the name Linum usitatissimum (flax). Its description in RNAcentral is "long non-coding RNA (LUSI_LNC003810)". The record is from RNAcentral. Lineage: Eukaryota; Viridiplantae; Streptophyta; Magnoliopsida; Malpighiales; Linaceae.